GCGGGUGUCAAGGUGCGGGUCCCUCCAGCCCCGAGACGGUAUGCAGGCCUGCAUCCUUAGGCCACAAACUCGGCUACCACUAGGGCCCGGGUUUUCUCCACUCGUGGGAGUGAUGGUGGGGCUAGGUUCGGUCUGUCGCUUACUUUGCUUGUGCCUCCAUCUAUGUGGUCGAUGCCUCUGGGCUCUCUGCACCGUGGCCUGCAGCCCGGGUGGGCUACGUAGUGUGUGAGAAUGUAGGUGGUGUUGUGCCCGAGGGCGCCUCCCGCUUUCUGCGGCUCCGCUGGACAGUCGGCGGUAGUGUGUGUGUUGCAUGGUAAGGGCUGCUUGUUGCCGCUGUGCGAGGAGAUCCCAGAUAUGGCUCAGUAUCGCCUUUUUGCUUUAUAUGGGCUCACUCCAUUGCAGUUG
This is a non-coding RNA of Pelobates cultripes (western spadefoot toad), 405 nucleotides long. NCBI's taxonomy places the organism in Eukaryota, Metazoa, Chordata, Amphibia, Anura, Pelobatidae. The record is from the annotation of a GenBank genome assembly.